Molecule: ribosomal RNA, 239 nt
Filed under: Paenibacillus validus
Lineage: Bacteria; Bacillati; Bacillota; Bacilli; Caryophanales; Paenibacillaceae
Description: Bacterial large subunit ribosomal RNA
Rfam family: Bacterial large subunit ribosomal RNA
Source: Rfam by way of RNAcentral
ACAACAGGUUGAAAUUCCUGUACCACCGUGAACCGUUAUGAGCAAUGGGGUGACGCAGAAGGAUAGUGACGCGAGCUGAUGGAUGCUCGUCCAAGCAGUGAGGCUGGUGUGUAGGCAAAUCCGCACAUCGUAAGGCUGGGCUGUGAUGGGGAGGGAAAUUUAAGUACCGAAGGUCAUGAGUUCAGGCUGCCAAGAAAAGCCUCUAGCCAGGGAGAAGGUGCCCGUACCGCAAACCGACA